This is a long non-coding RNA of Bradysia coprophila, 159 nucleotides long. Lineage: Eukaryota; Metazoa; Arthropoda; Insecta; Diptera; Sciaridae. The record is from RefSeq and is a predicted model, not a curated record.
CAACGUACCACUUUAAAGCUGCCAGCGGACUUACGCCGUUUAGCACUCCGUUUACGAGUGAACAAUGGAAGCUCCUCCAACUUUCCAUUGUUAAAACGUAAACGGAGAGCUAAACGGAGUAAGUCCGCUGGCAGCUUAAAUGAAGAAAAAUUCAUAAAU